This 480-nucleotide ribosomal RNA is filed under the name uncultured bacterium. RNAcentral's name for it is "partial 16S ribosomal RNA". It matches the Rfam family "Bacterial small subunit ribosomal RNA", at positions 28 to 506 of the family's 1533-position model. The record is from RNAcentral.
GAUGAACGCUGGCGGCGUGCUUAACACAUGCAAGUCGAACGAAGCACUUUAUUUGAUUUCCUUCGGGACUGAUUAUUUUGUGACUGAGUGGCGGACGGGUGAGUAACGCGUGGGUAACCUGCCUUGUACAGGGGGAUAACAGUUGGAAACGGCUGCUAAUACCGCAUAAGCGCACAGCAUCGCAUGAUGCAGUGUGAAAAACUCCGGUGGUAUAAGAUGGACCCGCGUUGGAUUAGCUAGUUGGUGAGGUAACGGCCCACCAAGGCGACGAUCCAUAGCCGACCUGAGAGUGUGCCCGGCCCCAUUGGGACUGAGACACGGCCCAAACUCCUACGGGAGGCAGCAGUGGGGAAUAUUGCACAAUGGGCGAAAGCCUGAUGCAGCGACGCCGCGUGAGCGAAGAAGUAUUUCGGUAUGUAAAGCUCUAUCAGCAGGGAAGAUAAUGACGGUACCUGACUAAGAAGCACCGGCUAAAUACGU